GGGGACGUAGCUCAGUUGGGAGAGCGCGGGCUUUGCAAGCCUGAGGUCGUGGGUUCGAUCCCCAUCGUCUCCA
This 73-nucleotide transfer RNA is filed under the name Olsenella uli. RNAcentral describes it as "tRNA-Ala". It matches the Rfam family "tRNA". Rfam says of the family: Transfer RNA (tRNA) molecules are approximately 80 nucleotides in length. Their secondary structure includes four short double-helical elements and three loops (D, anti-codon, and T loops). RNAcentral also lists the same sequence under 1 other name. The record is from RNAcentral. Lineage: Bacteria; Bacillati; Actinomycetota; Coriobacteriia; Coriobacteriales; Atopobiaceae.